Molecule: ribosomal RNA, 495 nt
Filed under: uncultured bacterium
Lineage: Bacteria
Description: bacterial SSU rRNA
Rfam family: Bacterial small subunit ribosomal RNA
Source: RNAcentral
ACUCAAAGGAAUAGACGGGUGCCCGCACAAGCAGUGGAGUAUGUGGAUUAAUUCGACGCAACGCGAAGAACCUUACCAGGGCUUGACAUCCUACUAACGAGGCAGAGAUGCGUCAGGUGCCCUUCGGGGAAAGUAGAGACAGGUGGUGCAUGGUUGUCGUCAGCUCGUGUCGUGAGAUGUUGGGUUAAGUCCCGCAACGAGCGCAACCCUUACGGUUAGUUGCUACGCGAGAGCACUCUAGCUGGACUGCCGUUGACAAAACGGAGGAAGGUGGGGACGAUGUCAAAUCAUCAUGCCCCUUAUGUCCUGGGCUUCACACGUACUACAAUGGCGGUACACAACGGGCAGCGAAGGCGCGAGCCGGAGCGAAUCCCCAAAAGCCGCCUCAGUUCAGAUUGCAGGCUGCAACUCGCCUGCAUGAAGUUGGAAUUGCUAGUAAUCGCGAAUCAGCAUGUCGCGGUGAAUACGUUCCCGGGCAUUGUACACACCGCCCGU